CUAGGUUGGAGGGGCAAGGUGACCAUCUCUGGGUCGGCAGGGGCGGCCGCCCCUUCAGCCUCCUGUUCCUGCUGAUGGUGGUGCUGCAAGGUACUGCUAUGCUCACAUGGACAAAUUAAGGCUCUGGCUAAGAUGUCAUGUUGGAGCAUUGCAGACUGCUCUUCUCCCUUCUGCCUUUACAUACAAGAUGCCUGUUGCUGAGAACACUUGUUCCCACUUCUCUAGCAGGCAAGGAUCUGGGCAGGACAACAACCACAGGCAUGUGCUUUCUCAUCAUGUGAUGUCAUCUGCCAGGUCAUGAUGCAGCAAGAAGGCCCUCACCAGAUGCCACCCCUCCAGAACCAUGAGCCAAAUAAA
RNAcentral lists this long non-coding RNA (357 nucleotides) under Homo sapiens (human). RNAcentral describes it as "HSALNT0365818". The record is from RNAcentral. Lineage: Eukaryota; Metazoa; Chordata; Mammalia; Primates; Hominidae.